UGCAGUCGAGCGAACAGACGAGGAGCUUGCUCCUCUGACGUUAGCGGCGGACGGGUGAGUAACACGUGGAUAACCUACCUAUAAGACUGGGAUAACUUCGGGAAACCGGAGCUAAUACCGGAUAAUAUAUUGAACCGCAUGGUUCAAUAGUGAAAGACGGUUUUGCUGUCACUUAUAGAUGGAUCCGCGCCGCAUUAGCUAGUUGGUAAGGUAACGGCUUACCAAGGCAACGAUGCGUAGCCGACCUGAGAGGGUGAUCGGCCACACUGGAACUGAGACACGGUCCAGACUCCUACGGGAGGCAGCAGUAGGGAAUCUUCCGCAAUGGGCGAAAGCCUGACGGAGCAACGCCGCGUGAGUGAUGAAGGUCUUCGGAUCGUAAAACUCUGUUAUUAGGGAAGAACAAAUGUGUAAGUAACUAUGCACGUCUUGACGGUACCUAAUCAGAAAGCCACGGCUAACUACGUGCCAGCAGCCGCGGUAAUACGUAGGUGGCAAGCGUUAUCCGGAAUUAUUGGGCGUAAAGCGCGCGUAGGCGGUUUUUUAAGUCUGAUGUGAAAGCCCACGGCUCAACCGUGGAGGGUCAUUGGAAACUGGAAAACUUGAGUGCAGAAGAGGAAAGUGGAAUUCCAUGUGUAGCGGUGAAAUG
RNAcentral lists this ribosomal RNA (649 nucleotides) under Staphylococcus epidermidis. Its description in RNAcentral is "bacterial SSU rRNA". It matches the Rfam family "Bacterial small subunit ribosomal RNA", at positions 56 to 688 of the family's 1533-position model. Lineage: Bacteria; Bacillati; Bacillota; Bacilli; Caryophanales; Staphylococcaceae. The record is from RNAcentral.